GGGGGCAUAGCUCAGCUGGGAGAGCAGUGCGUUCGCAACGCACAGGUCAUGGGUUCGAAUCCCACUGUCUCCA
Molecule: transfer RNA, 73 nt
Filed under: Bacillota bacterium
Lineage: Bacteria; Bacillati; Bacillota
Description: tRNA-Ala
Rfam family: tRNA
About the family: Transfer RNA (tRNA) molecules are approximately 80 nucleotides in length.
Source: RNAcentral